GAAAUUUUAGCAAGAUCUUGCAUACUUGUCCACAUCAGUGUGAUCGCCACAAAGUCAUUCUGGAAGCUGAAGAGAGAUAUAAAAGGGGACUAAGAAAAUUGGUUAUCUGUAAUAACAAUAGUUCUGAGGCUUUUAAGAAAAUACUGUUGACCCCAGCUGAGAAAGGAAGUCUGAAUACAGCGGCGUCAACCUUCAAGAGCAGAAAAAAUCCUCAGGAAAAUUUUCAAAGUAUUCGUUUGACUCCUAUGAAGAAAAGCCAAAGUAGUAUUUCAAAUAUAGAUGACAACCUCAACAAAAAUAUUAAUUUCCAAGAAAAAU
This 318-nucleotide long non-coding RNA is filed under the name Chelydra serpentina (North American snapping turtle). Its description in RNAcentral is "lncRNA (ENSCSRG00000002376.1)". The record is from RNAcentral. Lineage: Eukaryota; Metazoa; Chordata; Testudines; Chelydridae.